RNAcentral lists this transfer RNA (72 nucleotides) under Capra hircus (goat). It matches the Rfam family "tRNA". From Rfam's summary of the family: Transfer RNA (tRNA) molecules are approximately 80 nucleotides in length. Their secondary structure includes four short double-helical elements and three loops (D, anti-codon, and T loops). Further hydrogen bonds mediate the characteristic L-shaped molecular structure. tRNAs have two regions of fundamental functional importance: the anti-codon, which is responsible for specific mRNA codon recognition, and the 3' end, to which the tRNAs corresponding amino acid is attached (by aminoacyl-tRNA synthetases). tRNAs cope with the degeneracy of the genetic code in two manners: having more than one tRNA (with a specific anti-codon) for a particular amino acid; and 'wobble' base-pairing, i.e. permitting non-standard base-pairing at the 3rd anti-codon position. Lineage: Eukaryota; Metazoa; Chordata; Mammalia; Artiodactyla; Bovidae. The record is from Rfam by way of RNAcentral. RNAcentral also lists the same sequence under 1 other name.
UCCCUGUUGGCUCAGACAGUAAAGAAUCUGCCUGCAAUGCAGGAGAUCUGGGUUCAGUCCCUGGAUUGGGAA